UAAAGCUGCAAAACAGAAUGGCACACU
Molecule: non-coding RNA, 27 nt
Filed under: Mus musculus (house mouse)
Lineage: Eukaryota; Metazoa; Chordata; Mammalia; Rodentia; Muridae
Source: RNAcentral